GGUCGUCGAGGCUCCCUGAUCCUCGUGGGAACCAAAGAUUUGCUUUUGGAUGCACACACUGCUCACUGCAGUUUUUCCUCCACAGAUGUGUGCUCUCUAUUCAGAGUGAAUUUAUCACUUGAUAGAAGUUGUGGUUUUACUUCUGACUGUGGAUGCUACUUACACUUGCAGUUCCAGCAGGUUUGAAAGCGGACUAUUCUCCCUAUAGGCCAACAAAACAAUUCAGGGGGAUUUGGUGGAGUUUUUUCUCAGUUUUGAUUUGGCUGAAUCGCCGCAUGAAGCUUCAGCUUUCAUCUUCUGGUCACACUUGGCGAAGCAGCAGCAGAACUCCUUGCUCAGUCAGUAUAUGUGUCAGAGCUGGAAGGCUGAGAUGGACGUUCUCUUUUAUAAGACACAGUGCUUCUAAAGUAGUGCUUUUGUAAGCACUGCUCCUUCAGACCUGCUUGUCAUUGCCAGCCUGUAGGGCUGCCAAGCAGUGGGUUCACAACCUGAUGAGUGACAAAGGUCUUACCACACGCUGCUAUUUUAAUGGGGUUUAUCUGGCCUUGCUGUAAGGUUUGGAGACAUAAGAGCAGCCUCGAUGCCCCAGUCCUGUGACAGAAGGAGGUGGAGCCAGGACAGAGGAAAGAUGUGGAUUCUGGCCUUCGGAACAAAAAGAAGAACCGUGGAUAAGGAAUCUGGCAGAGAGUCUGCCAUCAAGAAACUGCUGAUGCAAAAUCUCAGCUCCUCCCUGUGUUAAGAACAGCACAUCUUUAGCUUUUAAAAGAAAAUCCAUAGUUCAUAAUGUAAAGAGCAGCACGUAGAGAACUUUAAAACUCUUUAGUGUACCCCUAAGUGUACAAGGUGAGGCACGGCGUCCCAGAUCCAGCAAGAUGGCAGGAGUCAUGUCACCUUUCCCCAUGCUCAUCUCAACUCCAGAAGAGCCAACUAUCUGGGAAGGACAGUGCCUGGUGGCAGCAGAAUGCUGGGAAAACAGGCAGCAAGAGAGAGAUAGGAGAGCAACUAGUUUUUGACAGAUUGACUCCUUAAUGUUCCCAUGGGGAAUAUCCCAUGGGGAAUAUAAAAUGCAUUGUUCUCUAGGGCUGUUUUUAAGGUUCACACUCCGUGCACCUGCAUCUUCCCCAAAGCCCAGCACUGCCAAGACCUGUGGCUUUCACACUGUCCCUCUUGUUCCUGAGCUAUUAUGAAAGACUUCUCUUUAUUUCUCUGACUGCACAUUUGCAUUUUAAGACCUUGCAGUUUACGAGCAAUCAAGAUCAAAGCCAGCAAGGCUUUGGGCUUUGCUACUUUGCCUUCAUACAGAUGACAUCUCAGAAAUUUUCUAUGACAUCUCAGAAAUGGAGAGAUCGUCUGCCUAGGGAGCCAGAGAGUACGCAUGGAGAUGAGCUGGCUCAUAAGAUGCUGCCUUGGCCUGCUGGCAAGCUCUGCCUUCCACAGCUCUGCGUGGUCUUUGGGGGACGCUGAGGGGAAGGAGGAGGAGGGAGAAACUCUCAUCACCUCAGUGAGGGAAGGAGGGGGAUGCUUAGUGCUGCCACAGCUCUGCUGGCUACGAAGGAAGAGGUAGGUAAGUGUGGAAGGGCCACCUCCUCAGCAUUGCCACUGCUGCUGGGCAUGGGCAAGGGAAGGACCUUUCUUCUGGGCUGGCUCCUGAAAAUUCCCAGCAGCAAGAGGAGGGAGGAAAUGUUAUUUUCCUGUAAAAGGAUUCCAUGCCUCUGACUGGAAUGGUAAGAGGAGGGACAAUCCUACAAAUGAGGUCACAGAACAGGGGACCCUUGCUUCCUGCUUCUGCCCUCUGCCUCUGAUGUCUCCUACCCUCAGACAGAUCCCUGGUGCUGUUUUGAAGAGAAGGGCGAAGGAGAAGGAAGCAGUCCGACCACACUGACUCAACUCCAUUCCUUCAGCAAGCUAUAUAUAUUUUUAUUUCGUAUUCAUCUGAACAGCAGAAAGUUUGGCAAUAAUGACAGCCUGGGAAGUA
Tympanuchus pallidicinctus (lesser prairie-chicken) is the source of this 1975-nucleotide long non-coding RNA. RefSeq lists it as uncharacterized. The record is from RefSeq and is a predicted model, not a curated record. Lineage: Eukaryota; Metazoa; Chordata; Aves; Galliformes; Phasianidae. The transcript is spliced from 2 exons.